AAACGACUCUCGGCAACGGAUAUCUCGGCUCACGCAUCGAUGAAGAACGUAGCAAAAUGCGAUACUUGGUGUGAAUUGCAGAAUCCCGUGAACCAUCGAGUUUUUGAACGCAAGUUGCGCCCAAAGCCUUAUGGCCGAGGGCACAUCUGCCUGGGCGUCACGC
Molecule: ribosomal RNA, 163 nt
Filed under: Jungia floribunda
Lineage: Eukaryota; Viridiplantae; Streptophyta; Magnoliopsida; Asterales; Asteraceae
Description: 5.8S ribosomal RNA
Rfam family: 5.8S ribosomal RNA
About the family: 5.8S ribosomal RNA (5.8S rRNA) is a component of the large subunit of the eukaryotic ribosome. It is transcribed by RNA polymerase I as part of the 45S precursor that also contains 18S and 28S rRNA.
Source: RNAcentral